GGGGUCGUUACGGAUUCGACAGGUAUAGGUUGAGCUUUCAAUGCAUUCCGUAGGUUACGUCUACGUAAAAACGUUACAGUUAAAUAUAACUGACAAACAACAAACAAACACUUUAGCUUUCGCAGCUUAAUAACUGCUAGCUAAGAUCUGUCCGGCAUCGCCCAUGUGCUCGGGUCCAGGUCCUAUAAUCAGUGGGAUACGAUUCACUUUUCCGCCUGUCUAAGUGAAUAAGAGAUUAUCAGGCUAGCUUAAGAUGAUGCUUGUUUAUCAGCUAAUCAGUAGCGAAACUUAAAUAGAUAAACUAUGAAUGUAGAUUUGAUUGUGUCGAUAUACUUGGACAGGGGUUCGACUCCCCUCGGCUCCAUUA
Molecule: non-coding RNA, 367 nt
Organism: Granulicatella adiacens ATCC 49175
Lineage: Bacteria; Bacillati; Bacillota; Bacilli; Lactobacillales; Carnobacteriaceae
Rfam family: transfer-messenger RNA
About the family: Bacterial tmRNA, also known as 10Sa RNA or SsrA, is named for its dual tRNA and mRNA-like properties. Its role is to liberate the mRNA from a stalled ribosome.
Source: Rfam